AUUUUUAUUUACAUUUUAUCCCCUUUCUUAUUUAACUUGUAUCUUUAUUGUAUAUUUAUUAAUGAAAAUUUACUUUAUAUUGUUUCAGUCGAAUUAAGCGCAGCUAACGCGAGAAGAAAUAUUGGACGCAGCGUUGGCUCUUUUGCACCUGAAGGGUGUAAUUAAAUAUACACCGCUCCCAACUCCCAAGAGAAGCCUUUUCACCGCGUAAGAGAUAUAUACAACAUGUCAGACGAAGUGGACGCUGCCUUGGCGCUUUUGCGCCUGAAGGGUGGGGUGGAAUGGAAACCGCCCACGACCGCCCCGCCCGCCCCGCCCCUAACUCCAAUAGAAGCGCUGUCGCUACGGGAGAUCAUCGCAGUCAACGCGCUGCUGGAUCUGCGGGAUCAAUCCCCAACUAAAAUCAUAGAAUCAAAAAGGAACGUAAAUUGAUUUACAUUUCAGUUAAAUUAUUUCAUGUAGGCAAGUGAACUAGGUCUUAGCAAUCGGAGCUCAAGACGGAGAGUUGAACGCAAACAAUGUCAAUGACGAAGUAUAAGUAUUAUUUUAAGGAUAUUUAGUUUAUUAACAAUAAAAUGUAUGUAUAUAUUUGUAAAA
Melitaea cinxia (Glanville fritillary) is the source of this 597-nucleotide long non-coding RNA. RefSeq lists it as uncharacterized. The record is from RefSeq and is a predicted model, not a curated record. The transcript is spliced from 4 exons. NCBI's taxonomy places the organism in Eukaryota, Metazoa, Arthropoda, Insecta, Lepidoptera, Nymphalidae.